This 25-nucleotide non-coding RNA is filed under the name Rattus norvegicus (Norway rat). Lineage: Eukaryota; Metazoa; Chordata; Mammalia; Rodentia; Muridae. The record is from RNAcentral.
UACUAUUACUGAUGGUCUGUGCCAG